Molecule: non-coding RNA, 47 nt
Organism: Sporothrix schenckii ATCC 58251
Lineage: Eukaryota; Fungi; Ascomycota; Sordariomycetes; Ophiostomatales; Ophiostomataceae
Source: Rfam
UAUCCGGCGCCAUUGGGCGCCACCGCCAUUUAAAAAUAAGUAUGCAU